RNAcentral lists this ribosomal RNA (253 nucleotides) under uncultured bacterium. RNAcentral describes it as "partial 16S ribosomal RNA". It matches the Rfam family "Bacterial small subunit ribosomal RNA", at positions 524 to 776 of the family's 1533-position model. The record is from RNAcentral.
UACGGGGGGGGCAAGCGUUGUUCGGAAUUACUGGGCGUAAAGGGCGCGUAGGCGGUUGGAUAAGUCAGCUGUGAAAACCACGGGCUUAACUCGUGGCCUGCAGUUGAGACUGUCUGGCUUGAGUGUGGGAGAGGAGAGUGGAAUUCCUGGUGUAGCGGUGAAAUGCGCAGAUAUCAGGAGGAACACCCGUAGCGAAGGCGGCACUCUGGGCCGGAACUGACGCUGAGGAGCGAAAGCGUGGGGAGCGAACAGG